This 431-nucleotide ribosomal RNA is filed under the name uncultured bacterium. Its description in RNAcentral is "partial 16S ribosomal RNA". It matches the Rfam family "Bacterial small subunit ribosomal RNA", at positions 29 to 507 of the family's 1533-position model. The record is from RNAcentral.
AGCGAACGCUGGCGGCAGGCUUAACACAUGCAAGUCGAGCGCCCCGCAAGGGGAGCGGUAGACUGGUGGGUAACACGUGGGAACGUACCCUUUGGUUCGGAACAACCCAGGGAAACUUGGGCUAAUACCGGAGAAGUCCGCGAGGAGAAAGAUUUAUCGCCGAAGGAUGGGCCCGCGUCUGAUUCGCUCGUUGGUGUGGUAACGGCGCACCAAGGCGACGAUCAGUAGCUGGUCUGAGAGGAUGAUCAGCCACACUGGGACUGAGACACGGCCCAGACUCCUACGCGAGGCAGCAGUGGCGAAUAUUGGAAAACGGGGGCAACCAUGAUCCAGCCAUGCCGCGUGAGUGAUGAAGGCCCUAGGGUUGUAAAGCUCUUUCGGUGGGGAAGAUAAUGACGGUACCCACAGAAGAAGCCCCGGCUAACUUCGUG